Cucumis sativus (cucumber) is the source of this 644-nucleotide long non-coding RNA. RefSeq lists it as uncharacterized. The record is from RefSeq and is a predicted model, not a curated record. The transcript is spliced from 2 exons. NCBI's taxonomy places the organism in Eukaryota, Viridiplantae, Streptophyta, Magnoliopsida, Cucurbitales, Cucurbitaceae.
AACCCUUCAUCUCCACGAAAUCCCAACCCCCCAAUCUUAAUCCUCUCCAUCACCACCUUCAAUGGUUGAUGACCCACGACGAUGAACCUCCAUCGAACCUCUCCAUCUCCACCUUCAACGACCAAUGACUGAUGACGACGAACCUUCAUUGAUGGAAACCUCCAUCAAACCUCUCUAUCUCCACCUCCAUCGACGGUGAACCUCUCCAUCAUUUUACUGGCAACGCCUUGAACCUCUGUAAACUCUAUUUCUGUCCACGAAGCCACACAUCCCAAACUCUAUUUCUCAUAUCGAUAGUGACUCACGUUUUAGCUGGUCUUUCCUACUUUGUUUCUCAAGUUGAAGACGACCUACAACGUUAUGGCUUGUAACCUACUCGGUUCCUCAAUCAAACAAUCAUCCAUGCCCUUCUGAUCGUUUUGCACCGCUUUGGAGGAUGGAUGUGAAAUUCUGUGUGAGGAACGGAUGAACUUGAAGUUUUCUUUCCAACAAGAAGUGUAUAUAAAUUUCAAAGGUGGAAGAUGUGUGGAAUCGAAGGUUCGAUUUGAAUUGAGUGUGGAAUCGGAGGUUCGAUUUGAAUUGAGUGUGUAAUCGAAGGUUGGAUUUGAAUUAAUUGUGGAAUCAAAUGUUGGAAUUGAAUUAAA